Molecule: small nuclear RNA, 189 nt
Filed under: Otolemur garnettii (small-eared galago)
Lineage: Eukaryota; Metazoa; Chordata; Mammalia; Primates; Galagidae
Description: U1 spliceosomal RNA
Rfam family: U1 spliceosomal RNA
About the family: U1 is a small nuclear RNA (snRNA) component of the spliceosome (involved in pre-mRNA splicing). Its 5' end forms complementary base pairs with the 5' splice junction, thus defining the 5' donor site of an intron.
Source: Rfam by way of RNAcentral
AUACUUACCUGGCAGGGGAGAUAAAAUGAUCACGAAGGUGGUUUUCCCAGGGUGAGGCUUAUCCAUUGCCCUCUGGAUGUGCUGAUCCCUGAGAUUUCCCCAAAUGUGGGAAACUCGACUGCAUAAUUUGUGGUAGCAGGGGACUGAAAAAUAAAAAUAAAUAAAUAAAUAAAAUAGCAACAUCCCCUC